UAUGCAGCUAGAGUCAAGAGCUCCAGG
RNAcentral lists this non-coding RNA (27 nucleotides) under Mus musculus (house mouse). Lineage: Eukaryota; Metazoa; Chordata; Mammalia; Rodentia; Muridae. The record is from RNAcentral.